CCUACGGGAGGCAGCAGUGGGGAAUAUUGCACAAUGGGGGAAACCCUGAUGCAGCGACGCCGCGUGAGUGAAGAAGUAAUUCGUUAUGUAAAGCUCUAUCAGCAGGGAAGAAAAUGACGGUACCUGAGUAAGAAGCCCCGGCUAACUACGUGCCAGCAGCCGCGGGAAUACGUAGGGGGCAAGCGGUAUCCGGAUUUACGGGGUGUAAAGGGAGCGUAGACGGCAGUGCAAGUCUGGAGUGAAAGUCGGGGGCUCAACCCCCGGAUUGCUCUGGAAACUGUACGGCUGGAGUGCAGGAGAGGUAAGUGGAAUUCCUAGUGUAGCGGUGAAAUGCGUAGAUAUUAGGAGGAACACCAGUGGCGAAGGCGGCUUACUGGACUGUAACUGACGUUGAGGCUCGAAAGCGUGGGGAGCAAACAGGAUUAGAUACCCUGGUAGUC
This 440-nucleotide ribosomal RNA is filed under the name uncultured bacterium. Its description in RNAcentral is "partial 16S ribosomal RNA". It matches the Rfam family "Bacterial small subunit ribosomal RNA", at positions 338 to 795 of the family's 1533-position model. The record is from RNAcentral.